This 500-nucleotide ribosomal RNA is filed under the name uncultured Glomeromycotina. Its description in RNAcentral is "partial small subunit ribosomal RNA". It matches the Rfam family "Eukaryotic small subunit ribosomal RNA", at positions 591 to 1092 of the family's 1831-position model. The record is from RNAcentral. Lineage: Eukaryota; Fungi; Glomeromycota.
CCAAUAGCGUAUAUUAAAGUUGUUGCAGUUAAAAAGCUCGUAGUUGAAUUUCGGGGUUAGUAGGUCGGUCGUGCCACUGGUAUGUACUGGUCUCACUGAUUCCUCCUUCCUGAUGAACCGUAAUGCCAUUAAUUUGGUGUUGCGGGGAGACUGGACUGUUACUUUGAAAAAAUUAGAGUGUUUAAAGCAGGCUAACGCUUGAAUACAUUAGCAUGGAAUAACGGAAUAGGACGUUCGAUCUUAUUUUGUUGGUUUCUAAGAUUGACGUAAUGAUUAAUAGGGAUAGUUGGGGGCAUUAGUAUUCAAUUGUCAGAGGUGAAAUUCUUGGAUUUAUUGAAGACUAACUACUGCGAAAGCAUUUGCCAAGGAUGUUUUCAUUAAUCAAGAACGAAAGUUAGGGGAUCGAAGACGAUCAGAUACCGUCGUAGUCUUAACCAUAAACUAUGCCGACUAGGGAUCGGAUGAUGUUAAUUUUUUAAUGACUCAUUCGGCGCCUUACG